GGGCGCAAGCCUGAUGCAGCCAUGCCGCGUGUGUGAAGAAGGCCUUCGGGUUGUAAAGCACUUUCAGCGGGGAGGAAGGCGAUAAGGUUAAUAACCUCAUCGAUUGACGUUACCCGCAGAAGAAGCACCGGCUAACUCCGUGCCAGCAGCCGCGGUAAUACGGAGGGUGCAANMNWWAAUNGGAAUUACUGGGCGUAAAGCGCACGCAGGCGGUCUGUCAAGUCGGAUGUGAAAUCCCCGGGCUCAACCUGGGAACUGCAUUCGAAACUGGCAGGCUAGAGUCUUGUAGAGGGGGGUAGAAUUCCAGGUGUAGCGGUGAAAUGCAUAGAGAUCUGGAGGAAUACC
This 345-nucleotide ribosomal RNA is filed under the name uncultured bacterium. Its description in RNAcentral is "bacterial SSU rRNA". It matches the Rfam family "Bacterial small subunit ribosomal RNA", at positions 373 to 710 of the family's 1533-position model. The record is from RNAcentral.